GGGAAUUGCUAUGAGGAUACCAAGCUCCCUCUUCUGAGUUAAAGUUGAGGAAAAUUGCUGGCAGAAUCGAACCUAAUUAUUAUAUCGCCACCACUGAGUUG
Small nucleolar RNA from Prunus persica (peach), 101 nucleotides. It matches the Rfam family "Small nucleolar RNA R30/Z108". From Rfam's summary of the family: snoR30 is a C/D box small nucleolar RNA which acts as a methylation guide for 18S ribosomal RNA in plants. Lineage: Eukaryota; Viridiplantae; Streptophyta; Magnoliopsida; Rosales; Rosaceae. The record is from Rfam.